AUGAAAACAGGAUCGCAAAUCACAUAUUAUUAAUUAUAACAAGCAAAGAGAGAUAAAAUCUACGGAAGAAGAAAUGCACAGCCAAAAAAGAAUCCAAGGUGAGGAGACAGAGGAAGGAGAACAAAUAUACUAAGUAAUCAUUCACGAAAUUAAAUUAAAUUCUUGUAAAACAAAUGCAAACUUAUCCCCUUGAUUAAAUACAAUGCUGGUAGAUAAAUAAAAAAUCAUUUCUCUAAGCUCCAAGAUAACAAAUUCAAAAGAAAUUGUAGGAGGAGGCGUCCAGUGGGUGGAUAAGGUAUGUGAGAACCAACGCAACAAGCAUCAACGCGUAGGCGAUUCCUUGAUCUACAGAAGUCCCUGUAACAAAGCAGAUUUAAACCAACCUUCAAUAAUUUUUUAUUUUAAACAAUUUUUGUUUUUUAUUUAUAAGCACAUAAAUGCAUACAUUACAAGAUCCAGAAAAGAAAAGAAAAUGCCGUUGAACAGAAACGAGAAGGAGAAACGGAUUUCAUGAUUUCAGAUAUAGGAAAACAACCGUAGAGAAAGUAAAAGAAAACAGGAACAGAUCUACCUCUAAGGAAGCAAAAACACUAGGAAAAAGAAAAAACCGGUGAACUUACCAUCGCUGGUGGGAGCAGGAGCAGGAGCCUGUGCACGAACAGAGGGGGAGAAAAUAAGGAAAAUAAGAGUGAAGAGGGCAAAAAAUCCGAGGAACGACCUUGAAGAGCCGUAACCUGUCAUUUUUGUAUAUGUUAAUGAAGUUGAGGAUAAAUAACGAAGAAGAAACAAUGCUAGUUGGAGAGAGAGAGAGAGAGGGAAA
This 820-nucleotide unclassified non-coding RNA is filed under the name Hevea brasiliensis (rubber tree). The record is from RNAcentral. Lineage: Eukaryota; Viridiplantae; Streptophyta; Magnoliopsida; Malpighiales; Euphorbiaceae.